Long non-coding RNA from Oncorhynchus kisutch (coho salmon), 1584 nucleotides. RefSeq lists it as uncharacterized. The transcript is spliced from 5 exons. NCBI's taxonomy places the organism in Eukaryota, Metazoa, Chordata, Actinopteri, Salmoniformes, Salmonidae. The record is from RefSeq and is a predicted model, not a curated record.
UCCUGAGUAAAGCGUGUGGAUGAGGAGAUAAAACGUCCUCAUCAAUGGAACGCAGAUAGCAUGAUUCUUCAUGGCAACAGAAUAAAAAAAGGGCUCAAACCUCUUACUUCGCCCCAGUGGCGUUAGAAAUAUUAAUGAGAGUAUGCAGAAUAUGAGUAUAUAUUUAAGAAAAAAGCAAUACAGUACUAGCAGCAAAAUAAUGUGAGCUGGAAUUGCAGGAAAUUGCUGACCUAGUCAAUGUGUGCAACCCAACAGGCACAAAAUGUACUUGGCAGCAACUGAAGAUUAAAAUAUACUUCAACAGAAGCCAAUAGGAAAAAGGCAGAGGGCUGAAAAACAGGUGGGGGGUCCACCACUCAGAGGCUGAAGAGAGGUCGCCCACUGGGGGCCAUAUUGCUGAAGGCAUCUCGGGAGGAAGCUCAUCUGACCCAACUUUUUCAGAUUCUUAGUUGUCCUUCAGACAUCACAAUCUAUUUUAAGGAGGAUGAUGAAGACAGCUUGUCAGCGGCCACAGAGAGGGAAGAUACAGAGAGGCCUAUUGAGAGCAAUGCUGGAAAUUACAGUGAGGAAGAGGGUCCAUCUACCUCGACAGCACAACUUACCUAAGAUGUUCAGCUUUGGCCCAUGACUUACAAUGAUACUAAGUAGACCUGGCACUGUGAAAUUCAAUGGCAUUUGUUUUCCUAUAUCUCCCUGUGAAAAAGGUGUACUUAAAGAAACAAAUUGAAAAAUGUCAUUUAGAAAUUGACCACAAGGCUGCAGAUGCUAAAAAUAGAACUGCUGGGACAUUAAAGGUGGGUGAGGUACCCACAGGUGGAUGACUUUACUUAUAUGAACAACAUCAAAAAUAUGAACUACUGCAUUUGUACUGGCAGGAAAAAAAGAAUACUUCAUAAUAAGAAAGGCAUAUUGUCUUUGACACUGCGGAGGUGAUGGGUCAAUCAGAAAUGGUAGCAUGUUGUCUCUUCCAUCUCGUGCAUCAGCAGGGUGGUCAGGCUCAUUCACUGGUUGAGUAUGACAUUGUUCUGCUCCAAUUGUGGCAAUGUUGUGGAGAAUCACACAUUCCACAAUAAUGUCAAAUGCUCAUUCUGGGGUGGCCCUGAGCCUAUAAAGGCACUGGAACCGGGCCUUGAGCAUCCCAAUGGUCAUCUCUACCCUGGCUCGUGUCCUGCAGUGAGCCAAGUUCUAAAGAUGCUGUGGGCUGGGCUCAGGGUAAGGGGUCAGCAAAUAAGGCUGGCAGGGGUACUCAAAGCUUUAUACUAAAUUAAUUGUUGCUUUGACUGAUAUCUGCAAUUAUGUGGAAUUCUUUGAGUCUUGUGGGUCUGUGACUUGGACACCACAAAAGUGUACAGUGAAUGUUUCAGCGCAAGAGACAUUUCUGACAGCCCGACAGACUGUUGCCUUGGAAAUAUGCUCAGCGUCACCGAUGUUAUAUAAGAAAACUCCCAUUGGCAAAAAGAAAAAGUACAACACAAAGAAUUUGUGUAAAUAGAAAUAGGCCUAUGCCAGUGAUAGGAAACCCUGUUCCUGGAGAGCCACAGGGACUGCAGGAUUUUGCUUUAAUGGACCAAGACCAGGUGUGUU